This 514-nucleotide ribosomal RNA is filed under the name uncultured bacterium. RNAcentral describes it as "bacterial SSU rRNA". It matches the Rfam family "Bacterial small subunit ribosomal RNA", at positions 32 to 518 of the family's 1533-position model. The record is from RNAcentral.
AACGCUGGCGGCGUGCCUAAUACAUGCAAGUCGAACGGUCUUUCUAUGGAAGCUUGCUUCCACUGAGAAGAUAGUGGCGAACGGGUGAGUAAUACGUGGGUAACCUGCCCAUAAGAGGGGGAUAACAUCCGGAAACGGGUGCUAAUACCGCAUAGUUUUCUUGAUUGCAUGAUUGAGAAAGGAAAGACGGCCUUUGUGCUGUCGCUUAUGGAUGGACCCGCGGCGUAUUAGUUAGUUGGUGAGGUAACGGCUCACCAAGACGAUGAUACGUAGCCGACCUGAGAGGGUGAUCGGCCACAUUGGGACUGAGACACGGCCCAAACUCCUACGGGAGGCAGCAGUAGGGAAUCUUCCGCAAUGGACGAAAGUCUGACGGAGCAACGCCGCGUGAGUGAAGAAAAGGUUUUCGGAUCGUAAAACUCUGUUGUCAGAGAAGAACAAGUUGGAGAGUAACUGCUCCAGCCUUGACGGUAUCUGACCAGAAAGCCACGGCUAACUACGUGCCAGCAGCCGC